UGCAAGUCGAGCGGCAGCGACUUAACUGAACCUUCGGGGAACGUUAAGGGCGGCGAGCGGCGGACGGGUGAGUAAUGCCUGGGGAUAUGCCCUGAUGUGGGGGAUAACUAUUGGAAACGAUAGCUAAUACCGCAUAAUCUCUUCGGAGCAAAGAGGGGGACCUUCGGGCCUCUCGCGUCAGGAUUAGCCCAGGUGGGAUUAGCUUGUUGGUGAGGUAAUGGCUCACCAAGGCAACGAUCCCUAGCUGGUCUGAGAGGAUGAUCAGCCACACUGGAACUGAGACACGGUCCAGACUCCUACGGGAGGCAGCAGUGGGGAAUAUUGCACAAUGGGGGAAACCCUGAUGCAGCCAUGCCGCGUGUGUGAAGAAGGCCUUCGGGUUGUAAAGCACUUUCAGUAGGGAGGAAGGUAGUGUAGUUAACACCUGCAUUAUUUGACGUUACCUACAGAAGAAGCACCGGCUAACUCCGUGCCAGCAGCCGCGGUAAUACGGAGGGUGCGAGCGUUAAUCGGAAUUACUGGGCGUAAAGCGCAUGCAGGCGGCCUGUUAAGUCAGAUGUGAAAGCCCGGGGCUUAACCUCGGAAUUGCAUUUGAAACUGGCAGGCUAGAGUCUUGUAGAGGGGGGUAGAAUUUCAGUGUAGCGGUGAAAUGCGUAGAGAUCUGAAGGAAUACCAGUGGCGAA
RNAcentral lists this ribosomal RNA (683 nucleotides) under uncultured Photobacterium sp. RNAcentral describes it as "bacterial SSU rRNA". It matches the Rfam family "Bacterial small subunit ribosomal RNA", at positions 56 to 719 of the family's 1533-position model. The record is from RNAcentral. Lineage: Bacteria; Pseudomonadati; Pseudomonadota; Gammaproteobacteria; Vibrionales; Vibrionaceae.